Long non-coding RNA from Corticium candelabrum, 3003 nucleotides. RefSeq lists it as uncharacterized. The record is from RefSeq and is a predicted model, not a curated record. The transcript has 5 exons. Lineage: Eukaryota; Metazoa; Porifera; Homoscleromorpha; Homosclerophorida; Plakinidae.
GCUCGAUAGGUGACGAAUAGCGAAGUCGUUGGGAAGCUAGAAUGAGUACGAGCGAUCGUUUCACGCCGUCGUCUCGUAGCGGGGCCCCACUGAGCAACGACUCAGACCGACCGCGUCACAGGCAGCGACGCUCGAGCGACAGAAGCGACGUUUCGGGGCGCAGGGUGACAAUACGAGAACUAAAGUUGGAACUGAUGAAGAAAAGUCAACUGAACGAGCAACUGCAAGCAGACUACGACAAAACUCUUCAAAGAUUAGCCGAAGCCGAGCUGACAAUCGACCAACUGAAAUUCGGAGUGCAGACACAAGUGAGCAAGACGGUCUACUACACGUUGAAAGAGAAGAGUCAACGCAGAGAAUCGAGAGAAGGAGAGAGACGGAGUGAGAGUCCGGUCGCCAUGGCAACGAGAGAUUCGGCCAACUAGCCUCGAAGUUCCACACCGUCUUUCGCGUUUUGGAACUUCGAGGCUAGCGGUCAACCAAACUACAGUUGCUCAGCUUGUCGGAGGAUGUAACCAGCAUGUUGACUGCUGCACGCAGUCAGAGGGCGAACGUGGAGAGCACACAGAUGGGCUUGUUGUUUCAGACGAGGACGUUGCAGGAUUGACUGGAUCAGACUCAGGAGGGGAUGAAGGGGGUACAGGGAAGAAGAGGGGACAGGGAUGAAGGGGGACAGGGAUGAAGGGGACAGGGAUGGGUGUCGAUGUUGUCGCCGAGUUGCAGAGGAUAGGGGACGAGGUGAAGAAGAUAGAGCAAUAGAUGGUGAAUGUGAAGAAAAGUCAGGAGAAGCUUUAUGAGAUGAGAGGAUCAUUUAAAGGUGAUGUUAGGAGAAACUCAAGAAGCCAUACGACAGCAAGAAUCACAGACACCAGAGCCAGUAGCAAUAGAGGAAGCAACACAACAUGUGGAGAUAUCCUUACCACAGCAUAUAACAUUGCAAGAUGUGAUGGACAGGUGGGGAUGAUUGAUGGUUGAUGGACAGACAGACAGACAGAUAGACGGACAGAUGGACACACACACACACACACACACACACACACACACACACACACACACACACACACACACACACACUUAUCUGUCACAUUGACACACAUCACAUCUUGUGUUAUGUAUUGACAACAUGAUGAGUCUUGAAGAGCAGCAGAGGCUCAACCCAAUGCCUGGAGUUGCAGUCAAAAUCAGGCAACUAUGACAGGCAGUCAAACAGCUACAUAGUGAUGUAUCACACAGACGCAAAGGAACACAAACAGCAACACGUGAUGUAGCUCAUCGUGAAGGUUCCGUUGCAUCUCAUCUCAGCAGCAGUGACACAUCAACAUCAUCCCAUCAUUCAUCUACCCGCCCGACGGAAGGUGCAAUACAAACACAACCGACACUCAUGUGAAUACCUCUCACAAAGCGGCGGUUUCCUCGUAACGAACGAGACACAAACCGACAAUCAGAGAAGGUCACCAAUAGUCAGUCGCCUACGGCAACCACAAGCCUAUAGACAUUCCACCAAGUUGCCUGGCAUGAGUGGGCAUGUCUCUCCGAGUUCAAUCUCGACUAACCAAUCAAAGCAGUCAGACGUAGCAUCUCGCUCUCGUACUCACAUGUAGAGUGAAGAACCUCACAGUUGGAGUCAAUCGAGUGAUGAAUGCCAUCGGAGAUGUUUACCAAACAGACACGCCCACACAUCGGAUUCUCAGUCGUAUCAAUACGAUGCAAACAUGUCGCCUUUAGUGCCUCAUGCACACGACACACAACCAACAAGCCAAAGUCACACAAAAUCUCAAACCGAGACGGAACGACAAACUGUUGGUGUUCAAGCAUUGCUGUAUGUGCCACAGCCGUCGCGUAUCCCACGGCUCUCGUCGCAUUGGAAGAAGCUGCCCAACCGUCCCGGACUUGGUGAUUCGUUUGAUAGAGACAGUGGCUUUGUUGGGUCGUCUGUGCAGCCGAAAGACGAGCAACAACGUGCAACGACGUCCACAACUCACUCGAGUGUGUCUACUCAAGCGAAGAAUAUGGAGGAAGAGAGCGAUCUGGUGAGUGAGACGGAGAUGGUGCAGCCAAGUGUGACUCGUUAUGAAUACGUACAACAGCCACCAGUGUUUGUGCCUUCACAGUUUCCGGUUCAGUAUUUUGGGUAUCCGGGUGUGGGAGAUGGGGAUGGUUGUGAACAGAGAGAAACGGCCACAGCUAGUUGUACAGACUGAUCCAUUGAUGAGGUUGUUGCUGCGACUUCAAGGAAGUCUCUCAACUUCUACUCUCAUCCGACGGCGACGUCAAUCUUUGUGACUACGAGGAAAACUUGCCGGUGGAUGUCGCCAGUAGCAACGCAGUGAAGCAGCUCGUGUCUCAAUGACUGUCACUCUGACACCUACGUUCUGCCAAAAGUCGUCUUCUAACUGUACUGCAGGAAAUAGCAACGUCAGCCUCCUGAUGCCGCUGAAAGGAUAGCUGUCUCGACGUCUUUCGCCUGUUCUCAAUAGCAAGGCGCUUCAACAUCCUGUCCUGACGUGCAGAUGUUUUUCUUUUUCUACCAGGACGUGUUGCCUAACUAGCUAGUCGCUGCUACCGUUUGACAGCGUCUGCAGGCAUUGAUAACUGCUGUCUUCGAUCUUCCCACUGGCGUGACAGCAGGCCGACGAUUGGUAUGGCCUACAGAAUGCAGCGCUUCGAUCUUCCUCUGGUAAUGGGACUGAGCUGUUUUCCUCUUGGCAUUACAGCAACUCACAGCAAACGAGCGAAACGAAACUAACUUGUGAAAUGAAUUCAGCUGAAAAUAGACUAGCAGAUGACAUUAGAAGUUACAGGCUUUUACUCUAGAGUUUUGGCAGAACGUAGGUUGACUGUUUGUAAACACCGGAAAUGGCUAAUUAGUAACAUUUUCUAACAUUUAGAGGUUACUUGCAAUGUUCCGACGCUGAUUCUUUUACUGAAAAGAUAAGCAACAACCUUUCUAAUAGUACAAUGCCUAAAACUGUCAGACAAGACUCCCAAAUCUAAAUUGGAGCA